RNAcentral lists this long non-coding RNA (6820 nucleotides) under Malus domestica (apple). RNAcentral's name for it is "long non-coding RNA (MDOM_LNC011564)". Lineage: Eukaryota; Viridiplantae; Streptophyta; Magnoliopsida; Rosales; Rosaceae. The record is from RNAcentral.
AUAUAUACCUAUAUACUCGAUUUCCCCAGAAAUCAAAUUUAAAUGAAAAAUAUAUUGAAAUGAAAUGAAAUAUGAUGUGAUUGCCAUGCAUAGAAUGUUAUGGAUAUUAUGAACUGUCGUAUGAUGCAUAUAUGUAUGAUGGUGCUGUGGACGCACAGGUAAGUAUUUAAUUACUGUUAUGUUGAGGAUGAUGAUAUAUUGAGCUCAUAUCCUGCACCAUGGUUUAGUGCUUAUAGUAUUCACCGCAUCGCACGCUCGCCUUGGAUCCAAGUAGAUGCUGGUCGUACAGUCCACGCGGAGUGGGUACGACGGGCCAGUCGUAGAAUGUUAGUGAGAUUAUGACUGGUGGGUGACCUUAGGUUAUUGUAUACAGAUGAUUGAUGAGAGAAGCACUUGAGCGAAUAUUACCAUGAGUCGUUCAGACUGCAUUAGGUGGUUCCGACUUAUGUGCAGAAGGCCGGACAGGUCACGCGGAGUGACUCCGGCAGAGAGUGAGAUUGAUAGAUGUUGAGCUCUAGGUUCAAUCGUUCAGGACUAUUAGAGGGCCUCCGAUUGAUUAUUUCUUUUACCUGAUUUAUAUUAUGUCAAUGCAUUCAUACUAAACUGCUGAAUUUGGCAUGGUACAUUCUUUAUUGAAUCUGCUAUAAGAUUGUUGAUCGAGACAGUUGAGAUAUAUAUGCUAUAUACUAUUUUUCUGGGAAAGUAUACAGGUUUUCCAAAAAGGGGUUAUAAAUGUGGAUUUAUGAAAUGUUUUGGAAAAGCUUUAUUUUUCGCCCACUCACGUUUUCUGUUUUUCGCCCCUCCAGGUUCUAGUUGAUAGUUGAGGCGUUGGUGGCCUACGAGGACUGCUUCGGCGUUCUGACAGACUAAAUAAAUGUAGGAUUCACCCGAGGGUGUUGUAAAAUAGUUAUGGUCCUACUUGACUGCACCUAGACGCUUAUGCUCUGUUUAUGUGUGUUUAGUACACUCUUAUGCACAUAGAAUGCUAGGUUGUAAAUAACUGCAAUUAGUGGUUUUCGUUGACUCGUAUUUUAUUAUUAAAUCGUUUCCGCUUGCGUUAUGGUUACGUCACACUCACGUGACGGCCAGCACGUUCUAGUCUUCGGGUUAGGGUGUGUCAGUUUGGUAUCAGAGCAUAGGUUGCAGUCCUGUAUAACUAGUGAUUUUACUUAUUAAUUUUUGGAUGUUUUCUGUCAGAAUUAUGCCGCCUCGUAGAGAUCCUCGCCGUGCUGCUGAGCCUAAUUUCCCCGAUAUAACUCAGCUAGGGGCAUCAAUGGCUCAAGCUUUUCAGGCUAAUAUCCGUCCUCCUCAGAGAACACCUGUAGAGACGAUGUAUAAUCUGAAAUUGGAAACCUUUGAGGGAAAUGAAGGUUAUGAAGGGGCAGAAAAGUGGUUGGAUCGGAUUGAGCAGACCUUUCAAGUGAUGCAAAGUCAAGGAAACCUGCCAGCUAAUAGAUGGGUGGAGACCACCACCUGGUUUUUGGGCCGUGAGCCAGCGGCGUGGUGGAUAAAUCAGUCGAGGCACAUGGCACCUGAAAGGACAGCCGAAUGGGAGGUAUUUAAGGAAAAUUUUAUGAAGAGAUUUGUUCCUCCGGAAUAUAUAGAUCGCAAGAAACAGGAAUUCACCAGUCUGAAGCAGAGAAAUAUGUCCGCACAUGAGUACUACAGGAAGUUUACUGAUUUAUCCCGUUAUGAUUCUGAUUUAGCGGGUAAUCAAGCAGAAAUGCUUCGUCGUUUCAAGUUAGGAUCUAAGAAGAAGUACAGAACGUUUGCCAAUGCACUUCCCUGUGCCGAUUAUCAUGAGUAUUUUGAGAUUCUGGUCCGGAUGGAAGACUCUGAUAAUCUUCCGGACAGUGAGGAUGAAGAGGAUAAGGGUAAUGGUCAGAAGAAAAAUGAGAAAGGUAAAGGUGUUUCCAUUCCAGGACCUCGUCAGAUGCAGAAUUUUAAGAAGAGUGGAAUGAGUUCUAGUUCUUCCAGUGGUGGAUUUAGUGCCACAGGUCCGAGGAGAGGAGGUGGUAGGUUUGGUAAUGGACCUAGAUUUUCUGGUCAGAGAGGCUUUGGUGGUACUGGUAGUUCGGGUUCUCCGUUAUGUCGCCGUUGUAAUUUCCGACAUUAUGGGGAAUGUAGGAGAAUCAGUGGUGCAUGCUUUACAUGUGGUCAGACAGGACAUAGAGCUAUGAAUUGUCCCCAGAAUCAGCAGAGGCCCCAGCAGCCUGUUAGGCCAACACCAGCACCGACUCAACAGAACUUUAAUUCAGGCAGUUAUGGCCAGGUUGGUCGUGGUGGUGCUUAUCAUUAUCAGGGUGAUGCUACUCCAUAUGCUCCAGGACAGUAUCACUAUUCCCAGGAUCCUUAUUCUCAGAGUGGAUAUUCUCAGGAUCAGGGAGGUUAUACUUCAUAUCCGUCUAUGCCAGCUAGCGGAUCUCAGUGGUAUCAGGGGGGUCAGCCCCAACAGAGCGGAGUUGCUGCUAGCAGUGCAGGGUCGUUUAGGCCGCCUGCCCAGACAGGUCAAGGAAGUAUUCAUCAGGGACGAGGUAAUCAGAGUGGCAGAUGUCGUGGAGGACGACAGCCAGCUCAGGGACGUGUUAACCACAUAUCGCUGCAAGAUGCUCAGAACCAUCCAGACUUGAUUAUGGGUACGUUGAAUGUUCUUGGUCAUUUUGCUAGAGUCUUGAUUGAUUGUGGUGCUACACACUCUGUGAUUUCUCAUACAUUUGCUCAAAUGACACAACCUCAUCCUUCACCUCUAGGGUUUGAUUUAGAGUUUGCUAUGCCUAGAGGGGAUAAAUGUUAUGUUGAUAGUUUUUACUCUGGGUGUCCAGUGAUGGUAGAUAAUGUCAUUAUGCCUGCUAAUCUUAUCCCGUUAGACAUCGUGGAUUUUGAUGUGAUUUUAGGGGCGGAUUGGUUGCAUUAUAAUCGCGCCCAUAUAGAUUGUUACGGGAAAUCAGUUACUUUUCUUCGUCCUGGACUACCUGAGGUUACAUUUGUGGGUGAAAGAAAUGGGGUGAGGCAUGGUGUUAUUUCAGCCAUAAGGGCAAAGAAGUUGUUAUCCAAGGGUUGUCAGGGAUACUUGGCACAUGUGGUGUUAAAUGAUGUUGAUUCCGGUAGUGUGGAGGAAGUCGGAGUAGUCAGACACUAUCCUGAUGUAUUUCCAGAUGAUUUACCUGGGUUGCCUCCAGAUAGAGAUGUGGAAUUUUCGAUUGAUUUACUUCCAGGUACGAACCCUAUCUCUUUGACUCCUUAUAGAAUGGCACCAUCGGAAUUAAGAGAGUUGAAAAUUCAAUUGCAAGAGUUAAUUGAUAAAGGUUUCAUUCAGCCUAGUUCUUCACCGUGGGGAGCUCCGGUGUUGUUUGUAAGAAAGAAAGAUGGAACUUUGAGAUUGUGCAUUGAUUACAGGCAAUUGAAUCGGGUGACGAUUAAAAACCGUUAUCCCUUGCCUCGUAUAGAUGAUUUGUUUGAUCAGCUCAAAGGUGCCUGUGUGUUUUCUAAGAUCGAUUUGAGGUCUGGGUAUUAUCAAUUAAAGAUUAAAGAUGAGGAUGUUCAUAAAACAGCUUUCAGGACUCGUUAUGGGCAUUAUGAGUUUUUGGUGAUGCCAUUUGGAUUAACGAACGCUCCUGCAGCUUUCAUGAGAUUGAUGAAUGAAGUAUUCCAGGAAUAUCUUGACAAGUUUGUUAUUGUUUUUAUUGAUGACAUCCUGGUAUAUUCUAAGUCGAAAUCAGACCAUAUUCGACAUCUUAACUUGGUGUUAAGGAAAUUGAGGGAACACCGAUUAUAUGCCAAAUUUAGUAAAUGUGAAUUUUGGCUGGAUCAAGUGGCAUUUUUGGGACAUGUGGUAUCAGCUCAGGGAAUUCAAGUGGAUCCUCAAAAGAUAGCAGCAGUGGAAAAUUGGGAACAACCUCGAACGGUCACUGAGGUGCGGAGUUUUCUUGGUUUGGCAGGUUAUUAUAGACGGUUUGUUCAAGACUUUUCUAUGAUUGCCUUGCCAUUAACGAAGUUAACCAGGAAGGAUGUUAAGUUUGAAUGGGAUGAAAGUUGUGAGCAAAGUUUCCAGCAGUUGAAGUAUUGCCUUACUCAUGCACCUGUGUUAGUACUUCCUGAUGAUGAUGGUAACUUCGAGAUCUAUAGUGAUGCUUCUUUGAAUGGUUUGGGUUGUGUUUUGAUGCAGCAUAGUAGAGUGAUUGCCUAUGCUUCUAGGCAGUUGAAGACUCAUGAAAGAAACUAUCCGACUCACGAUCUUGAGUUAGCAGCUAUUGUGUUUGCUUUGAAGAUCUGGAGACAUUAUCUCUAUGGCGAGAAAUGUAAGAUCUUUACAGAUCAUAAAAGCCUUAAGUACCUUUUCACUUAGCAUGAUCUUAAUCUUCGUCAGAGAAGAUGGUUGGAAUUGUUAAGUGAUUAUGAUUGCACGAUUGAGUACCAUCCGGGUCGUGCAAAUGUGGUAGCUGAUGCUCUGAGUAGAAAACCUCAAGGGCGACUUAAUGCUUUGUAUGCCAGUCGUGUUUCUCUUCUUGCAGAGUUGAGAUCUACUGGAGUAGAGUUAGAAUUGGAAGAGCAAAGUGAAGCUUUUCUUGCCAAUUUUCAAGUCAAGCCAAUUUUAAUUGAUCGGGUGCUUACAGCUCAAUCGUUGGAUGAAGAAAUUCAAGAAUUGAUCAGUUUAAGAAAGGAAAGCUAAGCCCCAGGUACAUUGGACCUUAUGAGAUCACUGAGAGGAUUGGUGAAGUUGCUUACAGGUUGGAGCUACCUCCAGAGUUGUCUAAGGUACAUAAUGUGUUCCAUGUCUCGAUGCUUCGACAUUAUGUUUCAGAUCCUUCACAUGUGAUUCCUCCUCAACCAUUGGAAAUUAAUCCGGACUUGACGUACGAUGAGGAACCAGUGACUAUACUGGAUUGGAAAGAUAAAACUUUGAGGAAUAAGACCGUGAACUUGGUAAAAGUAUUGUGGAGAAACCAUUCAGCGGAAGAAGCUACAUGGGAGACAGAAGAACGGAUGAGAGAUAUGUAUCCGAGGCUAUUUUAUGAGUAUUGAGGGUUUGGUUGGUGACUGGAAUUUCGGGGACGAAAUUCUAUAAGGAGGGGAGAUUGUCACAGCCCGUCCCAGAAUUACUUAAUACCGAGGACGUGAAAUUACAGAAACGCCCUUAAACGGGAUUAAGGUGCGUAAUUUUGACAUUUGUUUUACUUUAAGAUCCUAAACUAGGGUUAGAAUUAUAUAUUUGUAUGUGUUAAUAUUAUAUGGGUUAAGGUAGGGCCUUAUACCCUAAAUCCCUCCCCAAAACCCGUUUUGUUGUCUCUCUCUCAUCUCCCUAGUCACUCUCUCUCUCUUAUUCUUCAGAAAACACUCUCUCACUCUCUCUCUUACUCUCAUUCUCUCUCAAACUCUCGGACAAACACCCAAGACCUUGAAAACUUCACAAGUUAAGGUUGAGGAAGGUAGCAUCGUGUUCGUAAGGACCAUACGAACACAUUGAUAUUGUUUUCAGGUAAGAUUUCCCACGAUUCCAUGUAGAAAACUUAAGCUCCGAGAUUGCUACUGUUCAUGAACUUAAAUUUGGUUGUGUUUUAGGUUAAACAAAGAUCACCACGAGUCUUAGGAAGUCCCAAGGAGGCUCGGAGUGCCUCAUUUGAACAAAAUGGACGUCGGGAUCGUCGGGUUCGAGUUUGGCCGAAAUUGAGGAAUUUUGGAAGGUAUGAUCUCGUAGUUUUUAGGCCUUAAAACCCUUCCAACGUGAUAAUGCUUCAUUUUGGUGUAAAAUUCGAAGAAAUUGGACGAAAAACGAAGGAGAAUAGUGGAUUUGAAAAUUUUCCAGAAACCGGCGACCGGCGACUCGCCGGAGAAGACAGGGAAUCUUCCGUCAAGUUUGACGGAAUAUUCCGACGCCGUUAGUUAACUUUAACGGAAACCGUUAGUUUUUAACGGAAUAUUCCGGGAAUAUUCCUAACGCCGUUCACUGUACCGUCAGUGUGCCUGGCACGUGGCUGCGCGUGGGCCGCGCGUAGGUCCGUGCCACGUCAGGCGCGUGGGGGCGCGUGGAGCAUCCAAAAAUUAUUUUAAAAAUAUGGGGAUGAUCCUGAGGUUGUGUAGGUCACUGUGGUAUAUUCAUAUACCCAAUUUGAGCAUCGUAUGAAGAAUUUAUUACCUAGUUGGUUUAGGUGCGUUUAAUGUGCGUUAAAUGAUUGUUUUAAGUUAUUUCACUUCUAGGUGGAACUUUUAACGAGGACGAGCACAUCCAGGGCGUCAAGGGGGUUACGACCCGGCGACAUACCAGUGAGUGGGCAUUGCUUUCUAUAUAUAUACUUAUAUACUCGAUUUCCCCAGAAAUCAAAUUUAAAUGAAAAAUAUAUUGAAAUGAAAUGAAAUAUGAUGUGAUUGCCAUGCAUAGAAUGUUAUGGAUAUUAUGAACUGUCGUAUGAUGCAUAUAUGUAUGAUGGUGCUGUGGACGCACAGGUAAGUAUUUAAUUACUGUUAUGUUGAGGAUGAUGAUAUAUUGAGCUCAUAUCCUGCACCAUGGUUUAGUGCUUAUAGUAUUCACCGCAUCGCAACGCUCGCCUUGGAUCCAAGUAGAUGCUGGUCGUACAGUCCACGCGGAGUGGGUACGACGGGCCAGUCGUAGAAUGUUUAGUGAGAUUAUGACUGGUGGGUGACCUUAGGUUAUUGUAUACAGAUGAUUGAUGAGAGAAGCACUUGAGCGAAUAUUACCAUGAGUCGUUCAGACUGCAUUAGGUGGUUCCGACUUAUGUGCAGAAGGCCGGACAGGUCACGCGGAGUGACUCCGGCAGAGAGUGAGAUUGAUAGAUGUUGAGCUCUAGGUUCAAUCGUUCAGGAC